This is a long non-coding RNA of Mus musculus (house mouse), 421 nucleotides long. RefSeq annotates it as predicted gene, 39148. The record is from RefSeq and is a predicted model, not a curated record. Lineage: Eukaryota; Metazoa; Chordata; Mammalia; Rodentia; Muridae. The transcript has 3 exons.
AAAACAGAGCUUCAGAAGUUGGGCACUAAGGAGCCAGUUGGGACUUGGAGAACAGAGAGGUGGUGGAAUUAGAAGGCAGCUGGAGGCUUGACCAAGGUAUGCUGAGGAGUGAGAGAGAAUGUAUCCUAGUGAGAGAUGGAAGACAUUGUACAAUGUGGAAUUUGAGAACAGCUAAGAGGCUCUGAAGGACCAAUUGUAAUCACCUGGGUUGAAAACAUCUCAGGUAGCGGGAGCCACAGCCAAUGAAAAGGCCCUGUGAAGAGGAGGUGUCAGCUUGUUGAAGAAAGAGCAAUGAAGCCUGGGUGGCCAGAAAUCAGAAAGAGAGAAAAAUAGCCUGUUUAUAAGGGUGCUGUGGGGAACCUUUAUGCUGCCUUCCUCUCAAGCUCUUUGAAGACCAACUCAUACCAUCAAGAAGUCCUUA